AUUCCGCUGAAUUUAAGCAUAUAAGUAAGUGGUGGAAAUUAAACCAACUGGGAUCUCUUCAGUAAUUGCGCAUGAACCAGGAUAUGCUUAGCUUGACAAAUGGAGCUGCUGGCUCUGAAUUGUAUUGUGGGAAUGUAUUACCAACAGAGGUGCAGGUCACACUCCUUGGCAUUGGAAUGCAAAGUGGGUGGUAAGUUUCAUGCAAAGGUAAAUAUGCAAUUGAGACUGAUAGCGCACAAGUACCAUGAGGGACAUAUGAAAAGGACUUUGAAAAGAGAAUUAAAUGAGUUUGUAGUUGCUAAACACAAAGUAAACAGACUUGAUUUCCUCAGUGAGAUUGUAGUGCUUGCUUAACAAUGGGUUUUGGCUGCAAGUGCAAUAAUUCUUGCUUUGUGUGCCCGUUUUUAUGUGGACAUUUGAUUACCUUGGCACAUGAAUGGUAAUUUUCCUGCGGGGUGUGGAUUGCAUAUGCAUGUAAUGAUUUGCAUGUUUGUUAAAUGUGUCUGGUGUAUUUGUUUGUGUCCUUGUCCUUGAGGUUGCUUUCUCCCUUGGGCUUACAUGCCCUGGCACACACAUUCUGGCAAAAUGCUUCUGCUUGACCCGUCUUGAAU
Molecule: ribosomal RNA, 611 nt
Filed under: Alexandrium tamarense
Lineage: Eukaryota; Dinophyceae; Gonyaulacales; Pyrocystaceae
Description: LSU rRNA
Rfam family: Eukaryotic large subunit ribosomal RNA
Source: RNAcentral